Molecule: ribosomal RNA, 513 nt
Filed under: uncultured bacterium
Lineage: Bacteria
Description: partial 16S ribosomal RNA
Rfam family: Bacterial small subunit ribosomal RNA
Source: RNAcentral
GACGAACGCUGGCGGCGUGCUUAACACAUGCCAGUCGAACGAGAGCGUAGAGAAAGCUUGCUUUUUCUACAAUCUAGUGGCAAACGGGUGAGUAACGCGUAAACAACCUGCCCUACGGAUGGGGACAACAGCUGGAAACGGCUGCUAAUACCGAAUACGUUCCGAAAGUCGCAUGACUAUCGGAAGAAAGGAUGGCCUCUAUUUAUAAGCUAUCGCCGGAGGAGGGGUUUGCGUCUGAUUAGCUAGUUGGAGGGGUAACGGCCCACCAAGGCGACGAUCAGUAGCCGGUCUGAGAGGAUGAACGGCCACAUUGGAACUGAGACACGGUCCAGACUCCUACGGGAGGCAGCAGUGGGGAAUCUUCCGCAAUGGGCGAAAGCCUGACGGAGCAACGCCGCGUGAGUGAAGACGGCCUUCGGGUUGUAAAGCUCGGUUAUACGGGACGAAUAAUCUUGUGGUUAAUACCCAUGAGAAGUGACGGUACCGUAAGAGAAAGCCACGGCUAACUACGUG